This 587-nucleotide ribosomal RNA is filed under the name uncultured bacterium. Its description in RNAcentral is "partial 16S ribosomal RNA". It matches the Rfam family "Bacterial small subunit ribosomal RNA", at positions 355 to 1375 of the family's 1533-position model. The record is from RNAcentral.
UGGGGAAUUUUGGACAAUGGGCGAAAGCCUGAUCCAGCAAUGCCGCGUGUGUGAAGAAGGCCUUCGGGUUGUAAAGCACUUUUGUCCGGAAAGAAAUCCUUGGCUCUAAUACAGUCGGGGGAUGACGGUACCGGAAGAAUAAGCACCGGCUAACUACGUGCCAGCAGCCGCGGUAAUACGUAGGGUGCAAGCGUUAAUCGGAAUUACUGGGCGUAAAGCGUGCGCAGGCGGUUUGCUAAGACCGAUGUGAAAUCCCCGGGCUCAACCUGGGAACUGCAUUGGUGACUGGCAGGCUAGAGUAUGGCAGAGGGGGGUAGAAUUCCACGUGUAGCAGUGAAAUGCGUAGAGAUGUGGAGGAAUACCGAUGGCGAAGGCAGCCCCCUGGGCCAAUACUGACGCUCAUGCACGAAAAGCGUGGGGAGCAAAACAGGAUUAGAUACCCUGGUAGUCCACGCCCUAAACGAUGUCAACUAGUUGUUGGGGAUUCAUUUCCUUAGUAACGUAGCUAACGCGUGAAGUUGACCGCCUGGGGAGUACGGUCGCAAGAUUAAAACUUAAAUGAAUUGACGGGGUCAUAGCUGUUUCCU